Molecule: long non-coding RNA, 271 nt
Organism: Zea mays
Lineage: Eukaryota; Viridiplantae; Streptophyta; Magnoliopsida; Poales; Poaceae
Exons: 3
Source: RefSeq, a predicted model, not a curated record
ACUUCUUGGAGCGCCAAGAAUUACAUACCUCAAAGAUGAUUAUGAUAAGAUGGUUUGGUAUGUCCUAAACAAUUAUUUGGAGGUCGAGCCAUAUAUAAAGAUGUAUAAGGAAGAGUUAGAGAAUGAAGGGAUUGUUAAUGUGGAAAAAACCAUUCAGAAGCACUUUUCCUCCUGGUUUAAGAAGCAUAUUGCAAGUUUGCAUUUUGUCGAGGGAGAAGACAUUGAUGAUGACCUAUAUGCAUUGGCAUGCGAACCGGAUUUGUGAGUUCGA